AUGGCUCAGAUUGAACGCUGGCGGAAUGCUUUACACAUGCAAGUCGAACGGUAGAGGGGGCAACCCCUCGAGAGUGGCGAACGGGUGAGUAAUAUAUCGGAACGUGCCCAGUCGUGGGGGAUAACGUAGCGAAAGUUACGCUAAUACCGCAUACGAUCUGAGGAUGAAAGCGGGGGACCGUAAGGCCUCGCGCGAUCGGAGCGGCCGAUGUCAGAUUAGGUAGUUGGUGGGGUAAAGGCUCACCAAGCCGACGAUCUGUAGCUGGUCUGAGAGGACGACCAGCCACACUGGGACUGAGACACGGCCCAGACUCCUACGGGAGGCAGCAGUGGGGAAUUUUGGACAAUGGGCGCAAGCCUGAUCCAGCAAUGCCGCGUGCAGGAAGAAGGCCUUCGGGUUGUAAACUGCUUUUGUACGGAGCGAAAAGGCCCUCUCUAAUACAGGGGGUUCAUGACGGUACCGUAAGAAUAAGCACCGGCUAACUACGUG
Molecule: ribosomal RNA, 489 nt
Filed under: uncultured bacterium
Lineage: Bacteria
Description: bacterial SSU rRNA
Rfam family: Bacterial small subunit ribosomal RNA
Source: RNAcentral